UACGUAGGGGGCAAGCGUUAUCCGGAUUUACUGGGUGUAAAGGGAGCGCAGGCGGCAGUGCAAGUCUGGAGUGAAAGCCCGGGGCCCAACCCCGGAACUGCUCUGGAAACUGUGCGGCUAGAGUACUGGAGGGGCAGGCGGAAUUCCUAGUGUAGCGGUGAAAUGCGUAGAUAUUAGGAGGAACACCAGUGGCGAAGGCGGCCUGCUGGACAGUAACUGACGUUGAGGCUCGAAAGCGUGGGGAGCAAACAGG
This 253-nucleotide ribosomal RNA is filed under the name uncultured bacterium. Its description in RNAcentral is "partial 16S ribosomal RNA". It matches the Rfam family "Bacterial small subunit ribosomal RNA", at positions 524 to 776 of the family's 1533-position model. The record is from RNAcentral.